RNAcentral lists this small nuclear RNA (96 nucleotides) under Prolemur simus (greater bamboo lemur). Lineage: Eukaryota; Metazoa; Chordata; Mammalia; Primates; Lemuridae. The record is from RNAcentral.
UGUGCUCGCUUCAGCAGAACAUACUAAAAUUGGAAUGAUACAGAGAAAAUUAGCAUGGCCCCUGCACAUGAAGCGUUCUAUAAUAAAUAAAGUUAA